RNAcentral lists this transfer RNA (67 nucleotides) under Quadristernoseta cf. intermedia XFX-2019. RNAcentral's name for it is "tRNA-Lys". It matches the Rfam family "tRNA". Rfam says of the family: Transfer RNA (tRNA) molecules are approximately 80 nucleotides in length. Their secondary structure includes four short double-helical elements and three loops (D, anti-codon, and T loops). Lineage: Eukaryota; Metazoa; Arthropoda; Arachnida; Mesostigmata; Diplogyniidae. The record is from RNAcentral.
CCUUAGGUGGCUGAAUUAAAAGCAAUGGUCUCUUAAACCAAUUUAUAGUAUAUAAUACUCCUAACGA